AUGUUUCAGCGGCCACUCAAGAUGGCUAAUAAACAGCUUGCGUAUUUGCUCAGCUGCUCUAUGGCGAGCUCGGAGUACAGCAGCUUUAGUCCACUGCACUCCAUCCCGGUCUUCUGCUUUGCUUGCAGUGCCGUGUUUUCCGACAAAGCCUCUCUGGAGACUCACCUGUGCCCCGCAGCAAGUUUCAUCUGCUCCUGUGGUAUGGGAUUCUCCAAUUACACGGACAUGCUGUCCCAUCGUAUCAGACACGAAACCGCCAGGAUGGUCGGUUUCCUACCACAAUGCAACAGCAUUGUGCAUAAGAAGUCGGACAGUCAAAUAGCAAAGACAAAGGAAAAUCCAGGCAUACAGAAGCAGGUGGCGAAGACCCCAAGUGUGGUGACCAGUCCUGUUGCUCCCGUAAAGCCUGCGUCUCGCAUGGAUUCCGGCGGCACCACCGUGAGCCUCAGUCGGCGCUUCAGGCCUGCUGUGGUACUGAAAACCAAGCAAAGGUUUUGUGGGGACGGACGGUACGUGUGCGCAAGAUGCUUGAAUGUUUUCAGUAGCCAGGACAGCCUCAUCGAACAUGUUGCUACCCACGCUACUACUGGCGUGUAUGGGUGCCGUCAUUGUGGCCUCCUCCUGCUCAGUUAUUCACCCCCCUCAUUCCACUACCAGUGUCGUAAAGAUAAUGCCCAAGAUGUGAACAGGUUUACAGAAGGCAGGUUUGUCUCAAGCCAGCCGGUGGCCAAGAAAUACCCAAUUAAUAAGUGUCCGCAUUGUCCUGCAUCGUAUUACACGGAGUGGCAUUUAAGGUGCCAUGUUCAAAAGCAGCAUGCGAGUGAGAAAAAUUUACCUAGUGCUGUUGAGAAAGCCCAGGAAAUAUCCCCAAACAAAGGAGAACAAUCUAAAACAGUGUCUUGUCUAAAAGUUGAAGAAGCCCAUAGAUGUGUGAUCUGUAACGUGACAUUUACGACCAUUGACAAGCUGGGCCAACACUGGUGCACCAAAAACCUUAUUUUGAUCAAGCAAGAGCGAGCACACAGUGAUGCUUCAAAACGAACAAAGCUCUUCGGAGGACAAGAAAGGAUGCAUCCGUACCGCAAGACUGCAAGGGACACGGACAAGGAAGUGACUGUUCGACUUCAGACUACGCACAGUGUUUUUAGAAAUGCUAAAUCUGAAGCAUGCGAGGUGAAUAGUCCCGUACCGUCAUUCACGACAACUGGCGUACAGACUAAAGUAGAAUGGGAUGAUGGAAGUUAUGACAUGGCCGACACUCACAGAAAUGAGAAAUGA
Molecule: long non-coding RNA, 1278 nt
Organism: Denticeps clupeoides (denticle herring)
Lineage: Eukaryota; Metazoa; Chordata; Actinopteri; Clupeiformes; Denticipitidae
Source: Ensembl